AACGAACGCUGGCGGCAUGCCUAACACAUGCAAGUCGAACGAGACCUUCGGGUCUAGUGGCGCACGGGUGCGUAACGCGUGGGAACCUGCCCUUAGGUUCGGAAUAACUCCCCGAAAGGGGUGCUAAUACCGGAUAAUGUCUUCGGACCAAAGAUUUAUCGCCUUUGGAUGGGCCUGCGUUGGAUUAGCUAGUUGGUAGGGUAAAAGCCUUCCAAGGCGACGAUCCAUAGCUGGUCUGAGAGGAUGAUCAGCCACACUGGGACUGAGACACGGCCCAGACUCCUACGGGAGGCAGCAGUGGGGAAUAUUGGACAAUGGGCGAAAGCCUGAUCCAGCAAUGCCGCGUGAGUGAUGAAGGCCUUAGGGUUGUAAAGCUCUUUUACCCGGGAUGAUAAUGACAGUACCGGGAGAAUAAGCUCCGGCUAACUCCGUG
RNAcentral lists this ribosomal RNA (433 nucleotides) under uncultured bacterium. RNAcentral's name for it is "partial 16S ribosomal RNA". It matches the Rfam family "Bacterial small subunit ribosomal RNA", at positions 29 to 507 of the family's 1533-position model. The record is from RNAcentral.